GGGAGUAAAGGUCAACUGAAGUAUAUGCGUGUAAAAAGUUAAUGUGCUAGUUAGUGUCUUUAACGUCCGCGUCUGUUGUCUGUGUGUUCAUAAUGGGAUCUGAAGUAUCUAAAGUGCGGUUGGAAGGGUCUUUAAAAGACCUGCUGAAAGCCAAUGGAACUCCACUAAAAGCAAAAACUGCUGGGGCCGUUUUGAAUACAGUGGAAAAGGCGGCUCCAUGGUUCCUAGAUGAAGGCUUGCUAAACAUACCUCAAUGGGACCACCUGUGAUCCAGGGUUUGACCCCUGUGAAACCUAUUAAUGCCUCGGGGCCAUAUCAACCUUUUAAGUUGCCCAGGUGCACCAAUAACAGGGUAUGGCCACCAGAGUGGUGUGGAUGUCAGAGUACCUUGCGCUCAGUUUACAUCAAUGAAAUGCAUAGCUUUACAUUCACUUCACGCUUUCCUACUUAUAAAAAUAAUACCUUUACAGGGUACAAUUAUUCCUUUCAAAAUCCUAAGCAAGGCAAUCCCUCCUCUCCCUUUGAUGCAUGGCAGGUCUGUAACUUGCUAGAAGCAUGUACCGAUAUCUCAGCAGUGUCCAUGUUAAAUGGUGGCAAAUUCCGCAACUGUUCUUAUAAACAAAAUGACUCUAGUACCUUUGAGACAACAGUUAAUGUGACUUGUCCCAAUAAUAUUACUUAUCAGCCCACUCCCAUAUGUGUCUCACCACCGUUCCUUUUCCUCGUAACAAAUGCUAGCGAGCUGAAUGAUACAUUGAAUUGCACUAAGAAUUGCUAUCUUUCCCAGUGCUGGAAUGUCACGGCCUUCAAGCUGGCUGUGAUUAUGCGUAUCCCUACCCAUGUUCCUAUCCCAGUUUCCAUUCCAGAGGACAAGUUACCGGUGGUGCUAUCCAGAAAGAAGAGAGAAUUUGGUAUCACAGCCUCCGUUGUGACAGCAUUGGCUAUAUCAAGAGCAGCUGCCACGGUAGCAGCAGUCUCGCUUGCUGCAACUGUACCCACUGCGGAAGCUGUGAACACCCUUGCAGAAGGAACGGCGGCUGCCCUUCAAACACAGACUCAGAUCAAUGCACAUCUGCAAGCAGGAAUCCUGAUAGUCAACCAGAGAGGGGAUUUGGUUCAAGAACAAGUGGACAUAUUGGGGGCCCUAUUGGGACUGGGAUGUAUAGCACCCUUCCCGGCAAUUUGUGAAACUCCCAUUGCC
This 1201-nucleotide long non-coding RNA is filed under the name Neogale vison (American mink). RNAcentral's name for it is "Neovison vison (American mink) lncRNA (ENSNVIG00000003293.1)". Lineage: Eukaryota; Metazoa; Chordata; Mammalia; Carnivora; Mustelidae. The record is from RNAcentral.